This 465-nucleotide ribosomal RNA is filed under the name Vreelandella stevensii. Its description in RNAcentral is "partial 16S ribosomal RNA". It matches the Rfam family "Bacterial small subunit ribosomal RNA", at positions 338 to 795 of the family's 1533-position model. Lineage: Bacteria; Pseudomonadati; Pseudomonadota; Gammaproteobacteria; Oceanospirillales; Halomonadaceae. The record is from RNAcentral.
CCUACGGGGAGCUGCAGUGGGGAAUAUUGGACAAUGGGCGAAAGCCUGAUCCAGCCAUGCCGCGUGUGUGAAGAAGGCCUUCGGGUUGUAAAGCACUUUCAGUGGGGAAGAAAGCCUUGGGGCUAAUAUCCUCGAGGAAGGACAUCACCCACAGAAGAAGCACCGGCUAACUCCGUGCCAGCAGCCGCGGUAAUACGGAGGGUGCGGGCGUUAAUCGGAAUUACUGGGCGUAAAGCGCGCGUAGGCGGUCUGAUAAGCCGGUUGUGAAAGCCCCGGGCUCAACCUGGGAACGGCAUCCGGAACUGUCAGGCUAGAGUGCAGGAGAGGAAGGUAGAAUUCCCGGUGUAGCGGUGAAAUGCGUAGAGAUCGGGAGGAAUACCAGUGGCGAAGGCGGCCUUCUGGACUGACACUGACGCUGAGGUGCGAAAGCGUGGGUAGCAAACAGGAUUAGAUACCCUGGUAGUC